UACGGAGGGGGCUAGCGUUGUUCGGAAUUACUGGGCGUAAAGCGCGCGUAGGCGGCUUUGUAAGUUAGAGGUGAAAGCCCGGAGCUCAACUCCGGAAUUGCCUUUAAGACUGCAUCGCUAGAAUCAUGGAGAGGUGAGUGGAAUUCCGAGUGUAGAGGUGAAAUUCGUAGAUAUUCGGAAGAACACCAGUGGCGAAGGCGGCUCACUGGUCCCGGUACUGACGCUGAGGUGCGAAAGCGUGGGGAGCAAACAGGG
Molecule: ribosomal RNA, 255 nt
Filed under: uncultured bacterium
Lineage: Bacteria
Description: partial 16S ribosomal RNA
Rfam family: Bacterial small subunit ribosomal RNA
Source: RNAcentral